Molecule: ribosomal RNA, 330 nt
Filed under: Microvirga sp. 3-52
Lineage: Bacteria; Pseudomonadati; Pseudomonadota; Alphaproteobacteria; Hyphomicrobiales; Methylobacteriaceae
Description: partial 23S ribosomal RNA
Rfam family: Eukaryotic large subunit ribosomal RNA
Source: RNAcentral
CGCGGAUUAGCGGUAACGCAAACAAGCUUGGAGACGUCAGUACAGACUCUUGGAAGAGUUAUCUUUUCUUUUUAACUGUCUAUUGCCUUGAAAUUGGAUUAUCCAGAGCUAAGGCUGUAUGGCAGGAAGAGCAUCUCACUCUAUGAGAUGUCAGGUGCGUCUGUAAUGAUCCCUGAAAAUCCAAGUACGUGAUAUAUCGCGCCCAAUCGUACCAAUAACCGCAUCAGGUCUCCAAGGUGAAUAGCCUCUGGUCAAUAGAAUAAAGUAGGUAAGGGAAUUCGGCAAAAUAGAGCCGUAACUUCGGGAAAAGGCUUGGCUCUGAAGGCGUUA